GUUCAGUAGUAUGCAAGUAGAACACUGAAGAAACUAUGAAAUAUGGUUUUUUCACUUAUUUGGUGAUUUUGUAAGUGACAUCUACUGGCAACAAAUUCUUUCAACUUCUAUUUGCCUUGGAAAGUCUUUAUUUGUUCUUCAUGUUUUUAAAAAAAAUUUUUUAAACAUAUCUUUAGACAAAUGCCCAGGCUUAGGACACCAGUGUUUACUACUAUGGACUGGGCUGAAUUAGUUCUUCAUUAACCAAUCAGACGUGAUGGAAAACAAUCUACACAUCAUUGAAGCAGGAAAGAGCAUGCUGCCAAGGGACAACAACCAAAUAGAACAAAUCAGGAAACUAUUGAGGCUGGACAAGGAGAACAAUAGACGGAAAAAGAACCUCAAGAGCAUGCAGAAGUGUCAAAGACACAGCAGCUCCCACUGUUAAGAAUCCCACAGAAACACCAAACUAAUACCCAUAAUAUAUACACAGAGGACCUAGUGCAGAACCAGAUAGACCCAGUGCUUGCUCCUUUAAGUUUCUAAUAUCUUCCUGCACCAAAGAGACUAAUGCAUAGGAGUGAUGACUCCAUGCAGGCACCAGCGGAACCUCUUUACUUUCAAUGAGCUCAAUGUUUGGGUUACCUCACUCAGGAUAAAGUUUUCUAGAUGUAUCCAUUUGUCUG
This is a long non-coding RNA of Grammomys surdaster, 665 nucleotides long. RefSeq lists it as uncharacterized. The record is from RefSeq and is a predicted model, not a curated record. The transcript is spliced from 5 exons. Lineage: Eukaryota; Metazoa; Chordata; Mammalia; Rodentia; Muridae.